AUUGAACGCUGGCGGCAGGCCUAACACAUGCAAGUCGAGCGGAUGAAGGGAGCUUGCUCCUGGAUUCAGCGGCGGACGGGUGAGUAAUGCCUAGGAAUCUGCCUGGUAGUGGGGGAUAACGUCCGGAAACGGGCGCUAAUACCGCAUACGUCCUGAGGGAGAAAGUGGGGGAUCUUCGGACCUCACGCUCUCAGAUGAGCCUAGGUCGGAUUAGCUAGUUGGUGGGGUAAAGGCCUACCAAGGCGACGAUCCGUAACUGGUCUGAGAGGAUGAUCAGUCACACUGGAACUGGAACACGGUCAAGACUCCUACGGGAGGCAGCAGUGGGGAAUAUUAGACAAUGGGCGAAAGCCUGAUCCAGCGAUGCCGCGUGUGUGAAGAAGGUCUUCGGAGUGUAAAGCACGUGAAGUUGGGAGGAAGGGCAGUAAGUUAAUACCUUGCUGUGUUGACGGUACCAACAGAAGAAGCACCGGCUAACUACGUG
This 484-nucleotide ribosomal RNA is filed under the name uncultured bacterium. RNAcentral describes it as "partial 16S ribosomal RNA". It matches the Rfam family "Bacterial small subunit ribosomal RNA", at positions 30 to 507 of the family's 1533-position model. The record is from RNAcentral.